This 1117-nucleotide unclassified non-coding RNA is filed under the name Leishmania donovani. Its description in RNAcentral is "gene:unknown". The record is from RNAcentral. Lineage: Eukaryota; Euglenozoa; Kinetoplastea; Trypanosomatida; Trypanosomatidae.
CUGUUUGUAUGCCCCCCCCCCACACACACACACGAGACCACUCCCCACACGCACAACUAUUCGUGUUAGCGGCGAUGCUGCCGCAGUGACCGCUUCAUCUACUUCUUUUCAUCUUAGUGUGCCGAUCCUUGGCUUACCCACACAGAGCGAGCACUGCCCACUCCCCUGUGAUACCAUGCGUGUGUGUGUGUUUCCUCGUCAUCCGGACUCGUGGCUUCAUCUGUAAGCAGAAAGAAGAAAAGAAGUGACUGCAGCAACAACAACGGCGGCGAUACAUGACGUAGCACGAAGGCGAGGGGGGAGGCACCGCACACGUGUGCCGUGACGCUUUCGCCGCCGCAGCAUUCCGCAUUACCCCGCUCCUCAUUCUCUCUCUGCCUGUGCGAAGCUGUCUUUCCCACGCGCGCCCGCCCAUCUUUUCCGCCAUGGUCGCGCGCUGCCUCUCCUCCGUCGCGCCUCUUUCUGACUUCUGCGGCAUCUCUUGUGCAGAGCGGCACUUUAAGAGGCCGCCGGCACACGGAGUGAGCGCACGCUAGCGAACGGCAGGGAAGGGAAGCGAGGGAGGAGAGGCGAAGACGAGCAAGCAUUAACGGGAAAUGUGAAGACCCGCACAAUGCCGUAAGCGGUGAGCGAUCAUCGGUUGAAGAUGACGGCAACGCACUCCCUUUUGUUUUUCCUCGUGAGCGGAUUUUGUGGGCUUACACGGAAACGUAGCUGUGCGCGCACGUGUGUGCAUGGUGGUCUGAGAUGCGUUCGAUCCAUCUCUCAUGUGGCGUUGUAACACUUAUGUUGGUGUGGCUCGGUUUCCUAAACCGUGGCUUUCCCUCCUGUCCUGCUCUGUGAAGUCGAUGUCGUGCCGGGCUGAUGUGGUAUGAUUACCGCCUUCUUGCAAAGUCGAAAAGGGAGAGCUUCACUUCUUCGUUUAAUGUAUCGAUGUCUCCUCUGACGUUUUGUCCAGGUGCUGCUUCCAACUUUCUGGUUCUGUUCUUCUUAUUCCUUGUGUGAGAGUUGUGCAUCUCCUUCUCACACCGCCGUGUAUCGCACCCCAUCCUCCUCCCCACAAUUCUUUGCUGUCGCCUAUCUGCGUUCUCCCUCCCCCUUCCUCUUCCCGACUGUU